This 497-nucleotide ribosomal RNA is filed under the name uncultured bacterium. RNAcentral's name for it is "partial 16S ribosomal RNA". It matches the Rfam family "Bacterial small subunit ribosomal RNA", at positions 28 to 507 of the family's 1533-position model. The record is from RNAcentral.
GAUGAACGCUGGCGGCGUGCCUAAUACAUGCAAGUCGAGCGAACAGACGAGGAGCUUGCUCCUCUGACGUUAGCGGCGGACGGGUGAGUAACACGUGGAUAACCUACCUAUAAGACUGGGAUAACUUCGGGAAACCGGAGCUAAUACCGGAUAAUAUAUUGAACCGCAUGGUUCAAUAGUGAAAGACGGUUUUGCUGUCGCUUAUAGAUGGAUCCGCGCCGCAUUAGCUAGUUGGUAAGGUAACGGCUUACCAAGGCAACGAUGCGUAGCCGACCUGAGAGGGUGAUCGGCCACACUGGAACUGGGAAACGGUCCCGACGCCUACGGGAGGCAGCAGUAGGGAAUCUUCCGCAAUGGGGGAAAGCUUGACGGAGCAAAGCCGCGUGAGUGAUGAAGGUAUUCGGAUCGUAAAACUCUGUUAUUAGGGAAGAACAAAUGUGUAAGUAACUAUGCACGUCUUGACGGUACCUAAUCAGAAAGCCACGGCUAACUACGUG